GACGAACGCUGGCGGCGUGCUUAACACAUGCAAGUCGAACGAAGUGGCGAACGGGGGAGUAAUACGUGGGUUACCUGCCCUCCUUUGUGGGAUAAGCCUUGGAAACGGGGUCUAAUACCGAAUAAAGGGGGAUGGGCUCGCGGCCUACCUGCUUGUUGGGGGGGCGAUGGCCUACCAAGGAGGUGACGGGUAGCGGGACUGAGAGGGGGACCAGGCACAGUGAGACUGAGAUACGGCCCAGAUGCCAACGGGAGGAAUCAGGGGGGUAUAUUGCAUAAUGGGCAAAAGCCUUAGGCAGCGACGCCGCGUGGGGGAUGAAGGCUUUCGGGUUGUAAACCUCUUGCGCUAACGAACGGGUAGGUGGAGAAGAAGCGCCGGCUAACUACGUGCCAGCAGCCGCGGUAAUAC
Molecule: ribosomal RNA, 408 nt
Filed under: uncultured bacterium
Lineage: Bacteria
Description: partial 16S ribosomal RNA
Rfam family: Bacterial small subunit ribosomal RNA
Source: RNAcentral